UACGUAGGGUGCGAGCGUUAAUCGGAAUUACUGGGCGUAAAGCGUGCGCAGGCGGUUCGUUAAGUCAGCUGUGAAAGCCCCGGGCUCAACCUGGGAAUGGCGGUUGAAACUGGCGAACUUGAAUCUGGCAGAGGGGGGGUGGAAUUCCACGUGUAGCAGUGAAAUGCGUAGAGAUGUGGAGGAAUACCGAUGGCGAAGGCAGCCCCCUGGGAUAACACUGACGCUCAUGCACGAAAGCGUGGGGAGCAAACAGG
Molecule: ribosomal RNA, 254 nt
Filed under: uncultured bacterium
Lineage: Bacteria
Description: partial 16S ribosomal RNA
Rfam family: Bacterial small subunit ribosomal RNA
Source: RNAcentral